CGUUCCCGGGCCUUGUACACACCGCCCGUCAAGUCAUGAAAGUCGGUAACACCCGAAGCCGGUGGCCCAACCCUUGUGGAGGGAGCCGUCGAAGGUGGGACUGGCGAUUAGGACU
This 115-nucleotide ribosomal RNA is filed under the name uncultured bacterium. Its description in RNAcentral is "partial 16S ribosomal RNA". It matches the Rfam family "Bacterial small subunit ribosomal RNA", at positions 1369 to 1482 of the family's 1533-position model. The record is from RNAcentral.